This 522-nucleotide ribosomal RNA is filed under the name uncultured Glomus. RNAcentral describes it as "SSU rRNA". It matches the Rfam family "Eukaryotic small subunit ribosomal RNA", at positions 569 to 1092 of the family's 1831-position model. Lineage: Eukaryota; Fungi; Glomeromycota; Glomeromycetes; Glomerales; Glomeraceae. The record is from RNAcentral.
AGCAGCCGCGGUAAUUCCAGCUCCAAUAGCGUAUAUUAAAGUUGUUGCAGUUAAAAAGCUCGUAGUUGAAUUUCGGGAUCAGUGGGUCGGUCGUGCCACUGGUAUGUACUGGCCCUACUGGUUCCUCCUUCUUGAAGAACUGUAAUGCCAUUAAUUUGGUGUUGCAGGGAAACAGGACUGUUACUUUGAAAAAAUUAGAGUGUUUAAAGCAGGCAAUCGCUUGAAUACAUUAGCAUGGAAUAAUGAAAUAGGACGUUCGAUCCUAUUUUGUUGGUUUCUAGGAUUGACGUAAUGAUUAAUAGGGAUAGUUGGGGGCAUUAGUAUUCAAUUGUCAGAGGUGAAAUUCUUGGAUUUAUUGAAGACUAACUACUGCGAAAGCAUUUGCCAAGGAUGUUUUCAUUAAUCAAGAACGAAAGUUAGGGGAUCGAAGACGAUCAGAUACCGUCGUAGUCUUAACCAUAAACUAUGCCGACUAGGGAUCGGAUGAUGUUAAUUUUUUAAUGACUCAUUCGGCGCCUUACG